RNAcentral lists this ribosomal RNA (253 nucleotides) under uncultured bacterium. RNAcentral describes it as "partial 16S ribosomal RNA". It matches the Rfam family "Bacterial small subunit ribosomal RNA", at positions 524 to 776 of the family's 1533-position model. The record is from RNAcentral.
UACGGAGGAGGCAAGCGUUAUCCGGAAUUAUUGGGCGUAAAGCGUCCGUAGGUGGUUGUUCAAGUCUUCUGUCAAAGCGCGGAGCUUAACUCCGUAAAGGCAGAGGAAACUGAGCGGCUAGAGUGCGAUAGGGGCAAGGGGAAUUCCCAGUGUAGCGGUGAAAUGCGUAGAUAUUGGGAAGAACACCGGUGGCGAAAGCGCCUUGCUGGGUCUGCACUGACACUGAGGGACGAAAGCUAGGGGAGCGAAAGGG